Long non-coding RNA from Oncorhynchus keta (chum salmon), 1343 nucleotides. RefSeq lists it as uncharacterized. Lineage: Eukaryota; Metazoa; Chordata; Actinopteri; Salmoniformes; Salmonidae. The record is from RefSeq and is a predicted model, not a curated record. The transcript is spliced from 2 exons.
GCCGAAGUGCUACUGCCAAAACCUUGUCGAUCUCUCUCUUGUUUUACUUUGUAAAACAAUGCUGUUUGCUCAAUAGCGCUAUUUGUAAAUUGAUCACUUUCGUAGCUUACAGACAGAUUAGUCUUCUCUUUUCAGCAGAAUACAUUUGCUUUACAAACUGUGUUUUCACGCGAAUGUAUUUGAAAUACUUGUUUUACAUGCAUACUGUUCCCUGACCGUAUGCCCGGUGUACAUAGCACAAGAUGCCUUGCGGUGAAACACCGCUUCUGAUUCAUUUUCAAUGGAAGGUAAAAAAGCGAAGAGUCUGAGGACAUUUGGGUGGUGCGUGGUAGCUGGUGAAAAAUAUACAACUUUUCCCAACUUUACACAAAUAACCAGCGGCGACCGCUGUGUGAUGACCAAUCAUAUCGAUUGGUUCCCAUGACGAAUUUGACGCGUUGCGACCCAAGGCUGGAGACUUCCUACAGAUCAUUGUCUAUUUGUGUACUUCUUGUAUGUAUACAGCCUAUUCUACAUUAAAGUUUUUUUUUUUAAAUGAGACUUUCUUCAUCGAUGGAAGUAAAUAGGACCUGAGCCCUAGGACCAUGCCCCAGGACUACCUGACAUGAUGACUCCUUGCUGUCCCCAGUCCACCUGGCCAUGCUGCUGCUCCAGUUUCAACUGUUCUGCCUUACUAUUAUUUGACCAUGCUGGUCAUUUAUGAACAUUUGAACAUCUUGGCCAUGUUCUGUUAUAAUCUCCACCCGGCACAGCCAGAAGAGGACUGGCCACCCCACAUAGCCUGGUUCCUCUCUAGGUUUCUCCCUAGGUUUUGGCCUUUCUAGGGAGUUUUUCCUAGCCACCGUGCUUCUACACCUGCAUUGCUUGCUGUUUGGGGUUUUAGGCUGGGUUUCUGUACAGCACUUUGAGAUAUCAGCUGAUGUAUGAAGGGCUAUAUACAUAAAUUUGAUUUUGAUUUGAUUUAUACCCACGUGGGUGAUUGAAAUACUAACUGUUUUGCCGGUCGUCGUGGUAAUACUAUGAAAGUUUAGAUGCCAAUCACCAUAUAAGUUCAAAGAUGAAAAAGCUGUGAAGGAAGAGAGAUGACUAGAAAUGAUUCGGUUGGCCAUUUAUGUGUGGAUUAAUUGUCGGAGUAGAGGACCUUGUGCAUUUCAGGUAAAAUAACAACUCAAUGUUUAUAUCCCAGGACAAAUUAGCUAGCAACAGCAAGCUAGCUAAAUUGGACAAAUUAGUUAUCAAGUGCAUGCUAAAUUGCCAUACAUGUUUAAUGUUUUUUGACCUGUCCCCAAAUUAAUUUAAUUGUUUCUGAGUUAAAUAUUAAAAAUAUUUUUAAAAUAUUUUAA